This 253-nucleotide ribosomal RNA is filed under the name uncultured bacterium. Its description in RNAcentral is "partial 16S ribosomal RNA". It matches the Rfam family "Bacterial small subunit ribosomal RNA", at positions 524 to 776 of the family's 1533-position model. The record is from RNAcentral.
UACGUAGGAGGCGAGCGUUGUCCGGAGUUACUGGGCGUAAAGCGCACGUAGGCGGAUGUGCCAGUCAGGGGUGAAAUCCCGGAGCCCAACUCCGGAACUGCCUCUGAUACAGCACGUCUUGAGUCCGGAAGAGGUGGGUGGAAUUCCUAGUGUAGAGGUGAAAUUCGUAGAUAUUAGGAAGAACACCGGUGGCGAAGGCGGCCCACUGGUCCGGUACUGACGCUGAGGUGCGAAAGCGUGGGGAGCAAACAGG